This 47-nucleotide ribosomal RNA is filed under the name Microcyclospora rhoicola. RNAcentral describes it as "partial 28S ribosomal RNA". The record is from RNAcentral. Lineage: Eukaryota; Fungi; Ascomycota; Dothideomycetes; Capnodiales.
GGUUGACCUCGGAUCAGGUAGGGAUACCCGCUGAACUUAAGCAUACA